AUACGGAGGGUGCAAGCGUUGUUCGGAAUUAUUGGGCGUAAAGAGCAUGUAGGCGGACUAUUAAGUCUGGUGUGAAAGCCCGGGGCUCAACCCCGGAAGUGCAUUGGAUACUGGUAGUCUUGAGUAUGGGAGAGGAAAGUGGAAUUCCGAGUGUAGGAGUGAAAUCCGUAGAUAUUCGGAGGAACACCAGUGGCGAAGGCGGCUUUCUGGACCAAUACUGACGCUGAGAUGCGAAAGCGUGGGGAGCGAACAGGAUUAGAUACCCGAGUAGUCC
RNAcentral lists this ribosomal RNA (274 nucleotides) under uncultured bacterium. RNAcentral describes it as "partial 16S ribosomal RNA". It matches the Rfam family "Bacterial small subunit ribosomal RNA", at positions 523 to 796 of the family's 1533-position model. The record is from RNAcentral.